RNAcentral lists this ribosomal RNA (254 nucleotides) under uncultured bacterium. RNAcentral describes it as "partial 16S ribosomal RNA". It matches the Rfam family "Bacterial small subunit ribosomal RNA", at positions 524 to 776 of the family's 1533-position model. The record is from RNAcentral.
UACGGGGGGAGCAAGCGUUGUUCGGAUUUACUGGGCGUAAAGGGCGCGUAGGCGGUCAGCACAAGUCAGUUGUGAAAUCUCCGGGCUUAACUCGGAAAGGUCAACUGAUACUGUGCGACUAGAGUGCAGAAGGGGCAACUGGAAUUCUCGGUGUAGCGGUGAAAUGCGUAGAUAUCAGGAGGAACACCGGUGGCGAAGGCGGAUCUCUGGGCCAUUACUGACGCUGAGGAGCGAAAGCGUGGGGAGCGAACAGG